UAAUACGUAGGGUGCAAGCGUUAAUCGGAAUUACUGGGCGUAAAGCGUGCGCAGGCGGCUUCGCAAGACAGAGGUGAAAUCCCCGGGCUCAACCUGGGAACUGCCUUUGUGACUGCGAGGCUUGAGUAUGGCAGAGGGGGAUGGAAUUCCGCGUGUAGCAGUGAAAUGCGUAGAUAUGCGGAGGAACACCGAUGGCGAAGGCAGUCCCCUGGGCCUGUACUGACGCUCAUGCACGAAAGCGUGGGGAGCAAACAGGAUUAGAUACCCUGGUAGUCCACGCCCUAAACGAUGUCAACUGGUUGUUGGAGGGGUUUCUCUUCAGUAACGAAGCUAACGCGUGAAGUUGACCGCCUGGGGAGUACGGCCGCAAGGUUGAAACUUAAAUGAAUUGACGG
RNAcentral lists this ribosomal RNA (395 nucleotides) under uncultured bacterium. Its description in RNAcentral is "bacterial SSU rRNA". It matches the Rfam family "Bacterial small subunit ribosomal RNA", at positions 521 to 916 of the family's 1533-position model. The record is from RNAcentral.